This is a long non-coding RNA of Betta splendens (Siamese fighting fish), 1395 nucleotides long. RefSeq lists it as uncharacterized. The record is from RefSeq and is a predicted model, not a curated record. The transcript has 3 exons. NCBI's taxonomy places the organism in Eukaryota, Metazoa, Chordata, Actinopteri, Anabantiformes, Osphronemidae.
UAUUAUUGCUUAGAAUCAGAGGAGGGGUUAUGGAUUGAUACAAAUAGUCACCCCCGCCAAGCCAACCCCAGCGCAGGCUGAAUUAAUGUGUUGCUAUUUUUGGGAGCCCCGUGUUUCCAGGGGAGACCUAAUGACGCAAUGACGUCAAUGCGGGUCAAUCGCAGACUGGAGGAAUUGAGUGGCUUCCAUUUGGGUCUUUUGCAGUAUUUCCUACAGAAAGGAUGGAAACGAGUACAAAAUGGAAGUAUAUUGCCUCCAAAAUGCAUCGAAAACAGAGGUGAAUCAAAAUGCUGAAGUGAAAAUGAUCAGACCGGCAUCACGUCGCCCCAACCCUUCGAGCAUCAGCGGUAGUAAGGGAGGGGCUUUACACAACCUGACCUAUUCCGAGCCCUCGCAUCCAGACGCACAGAGGUGCAGCGGGUGAUGGUGGUCGUGCGCUCAGCUCUGCAGCCUUGUUCCUUUCAGACCUUUUUGCGGUCUGGGCUUGCUGUUCAGUCUAUCCAGGAAGCCCUUACCCCAAAAAGCAUCUGCAAGGGACCCUCACGUCUCAGAAAUCACUCCCAGGGCCUGACAGCAGCAGAGUAACGUGACUCUGGGUGAAAGAUGUAACUUUGUAGUAGAAAACACAGGCGCUGUUAAUUAGGAAAAGGUUUUAUCUGCUCUGGUUCCACUAGUUUCCCUUCCGCUCACCUCUUGCUGGGCUGCUCCACCAAUAACAAAGAAGAAGCUGGGAAGUACAAAAACUUUCCAACAAAUAUCUUUUAUUUUAAACUUUCACUAGCGUCCAUCAUGUUCUUCAGCCCUGAGCUGCUGCACCGCAUCUUCGGCGCCGUGUGAUUUCCCCACAAGAUGGCAGCAUUGCUUAAAUUUAUUUUAUUUAUUAUUAUUUUGACUGAGGAAAUUGUGUGUAAUAUACAUAUUGUAUAAACUACAAAAUUAUCUUACCUUAGAAAAGACAUAAUUGCAAGUAGACAAUUCUGGAUGUUUGCGGCACGUGCGUCAACGUGAAAAGAAGGAAGGGGGAAAUGGAGCGCAGCAAAGCUAGGGGUUCUUCUCGUGGUGGGGGUGGUGAGAUUCAGUGGGGACUGGAAGAAACAAUACAGAUGUGUCCUGUGCAGGAAAUAUAUAAUACAUGAGCAGUCAAAGUCUGUCUCCUCUAUCUGCAGUUACACCAGGUUAUGUUCAUAAGAUGAUGAGAUGAUGUGUGUGUUAAUGUGUAGUUGGACCAUACAUACACUAUACAGUACAUACAGAAGGAGCUGAAUCGCUUUAGGUUUCUGUUUAGUAGCAGAUCUGUUCAGUGUUUUCCAGUCUGAAAACACCCCUCGUUUAAUUGUUAUGAAAAGUGAUUUUUUUUAGCUCAGAUGAUGACGAAAUAAACAGCCUUUAAAGAAA